AGCAGCCGCGGUAAUUCCAGCUCCAAUAGCGUAUAUUAAAGUUGUUGCAGUUAAAAAGCUCGUAGUUGAAUUUCGGGAUCAGUACGCCGGUCGUGCCUUCGGUAUGCACUGGUGUCACUGGUUUCUCCCUUCUGAAGAACCAUCAUGCCAUUCAGUUGGUGUGGCGGGGAAUCAGGACUGUUACUUUGAAAAAAUUAGAGUGUUUAAAGCAGGCUCGCGCUUGAAUACAUUAGCAUGGAAUAAUGAAAUAGGACGUUUGACCCUAUUUUGUUGGUUUCUAGGAUCGACGUAAUGAUUAAUAGGGAUAGUUGGGGGCAUUAGUAUUCAAUUGUCAGAGGUGAAAUUCUUGGAUUUAUUGAAGACUAACUACUGCGAAAGCAUUUGCCAAGGAUGUUUUCAUUAAUCAAGAACGAAAGUUAGGGGAUCGAAGACGAUCAGAUACCGUCGUAGUCUUAACCAUAAACUAUGCCGACUAGGGAUCGGAUGAUGUUAAUUUUUUAAUGACUCAUUCGGCGCCUUA
This 520-nucleotide non-coding RNA is filed under the name uncultured Glomus. RNAcentral describes it as "SSU rRNA". It matches the Rfam family "Eukaryotic small subunit ribosomal RNA", at positions 569 to 1090 of the family's 1831-position model. Lineage: Eukaryota; Fungi; Glomeromycota; Glomeromycetes; Glomerales; Glomeraceae. RNAcentral also lists the same sequence under 1 other name. The record is from RNAcentral.